This 370-nucleotide ribosomal RNA is filed under the name Androsus violaceus. RNAcentral's name for it is "partial 12S ribosomal RNA". Lineage: Eukaryota; Metazoa; Arthropoda; Insecta; Coleoptera; Tenebrionidae. The record is from RNAcentral.
GAUACCCUAUUAUUUUGAAUGUGAAUUUAGGAUCCUUAAUUAUUAAUAGCUAUGUUCUUAAAAGUUAAAAGAUUUGGCGGUAUUUUAGUCUGUUCAGAGGAACCUGUCUCUUAAUCGAUAGUCCACGAUUAGCUUUACUUUGGCUUAAAAUUUAUAUAUCGUUGUUUGUAAAAAUUUUAGGAGAGUAAUAAUUUUUAGUAUACUUGAUUAAGUUGUAUUUCAGAUCAAGGUGUAGUUUAUGCUUGAGAUGGGAUGGGUUACAAUAUUGUUAAGUGUGGUCUUUGGUUUUAAAAUCUAAGGUAAAAUGGAUUUGAUAGUAAAGGUGAAAUUUUUACAGUUUGAUUUAGCUCUAAAAUAUGCACACAUCGCC